This 253-nucleotide ribosomal RNA is filed under the name uncultured bacterium. Its description in RNAcentral is "partial 16S ribosomal RNA". It matches the Rfam family "Bacterial small subunit ribosomal RNA", at positions 524 to 776 of the family's 1533-position model. The record is from RNAcentral.
UACAGGGGGUGCAAACGUUGCUCGGAAUUAUUGGGCGUAAAGCGCGCGUAGGCGGCUACUUAAGUCGGAUGUGAAAGCCCUUGGCUCAACUGAGGAAGUGCACCCGAAACUGAGUGGCUAGAGUACGAAAGAGGGUCGCGGAAUUCCCGGUGUAGAGGUGAAAUUCGUAGAUAUCGGGAGGAACACCGGUGGCGAAGGCGGCGACCUGGGUCGGUACUGACGCUGAGACGCGAAAGCGUGGGGAGCAAACAGG